This is a small nucleolar RNA of 94 nucleotides. It matches the Rfam family "Small nucleolar RNA snR73".
UUAUAUGAUGAUUUUUUUUUACAAUUUUAUCACGACGGUCAACAUAGUCUAUACAUUGAUGACCACCGCCUUUGACAAGGCCUUGUAUCUGAUA